CCUUGUACACACCGCCCGUCACACCACGAAAGUUUGUUGUACCUGAAGUCGUUGGCGCCAACCGCAAGGAGGCAGACGCCCACGGUAUGACCGAUGUUUGGGGUG
RNAcentral lists this ribosomal RNA (105 nucleotides) under uncultured bacterium. Its description in RNAcentral is "partial 16S ribosomal RNA". It matches the Rfam family "Bacterial small subunit ribosomal RNA", at positions 1379 to 1482 of the family's 1533-position model. The record is from RNAcentral.